This 549-nucleotide long non-coding RNA is filed under the name Anas platyrhynchos platyrhynchos (common mallard). Its description in RNAcentral is "lncRNA (ENSAPLG00000028594.1)". The record is from RNAcentral. Lineage: Eukaryota; Metazoa; Chordata; Aves; Anseriformes; Anatidae.
AUGGCAAGAGCUCUGGCUUUCCUCCAGAAGCAUCAUCAGGAAGGGGAUUUGCUUGUUGGUUUAAAGGAAGAGUCAGAAGCUGUGCUGAGAAACAUGCAGGCAGAAUUUAGACUGGAACUUCACACACAGACGGAAGAAAAGAUACAAGCCAAAGAAAUGCAAGUGAUCCAAGGGACCGAAGGAGAAGAAUUAGGGAAUUUGGUGGCAUAUUUCAUCCUAUCUCAGAGACACCUGCGGCAAACAGUCGUAAUGCUGCAAGAUUGCUACAGGCUCCAGAAGGCUACACUGAGGUCCCAAAGGGAGGGCACUGGCCUGGAACAGCUUGCUGUAGAAGAGUUAUCAAUCGAUGAUGACCUGUGGGGCACGUUGUAUCUGCUGAAGAACAACACCGAGUAUACGUUGUUAGUGCUUGAAUAUAUACAAGCUGUAAGAUUAUUACAGCUGAGGGAAGCACAGUUUAAGGAAAUAGGCAGAAGCCUAAAAGGCUACCUCCAGGAGAAGGUAAAACUGAAAAUAUGUUACCUGUUGAUUUUAUUCAGAAAAUGCUAA